GAGGGUUCUUUCACAUGGGUGAAGUGUUCUGACAUCAGAUCUUGACUUUUGCACAGGUUUUAAUGAGGAGACAAUGCUUUUUGUCCCUGAGCUUCUCUUGUUCAAGUGCAGAACAGAAAAAGGAGAGAGAAAGUUUGAUGCAGGGAUCAGGCCUCCUCAGCCGCUGAUGCCUCAUGAUAGAAGCACCGUGGCUUCUCAAGGACUGUAGGUUACAGAAGGCUCCCGUCUAGACUGAGUCAGGCCUGGUGGCUGGCACACACACAGUCUACCCAGUGUCUGCAAGAGCAGCCAAUUGGGAGACACUCCACACUUCUCUCUGAGUCAUUGCCUUGUCCAUCCAGGUGCCCACAGCACACACCAACCCACUGCAAACAAGACCUUUUCUCCUGGGAGAAAGCCUCAACGUUUUCAAGCUUGAGUUUUCAGAGACUAUUCACAAUAGCAAAGAUAUGGAAUCACCCUAAGUGUCCGUCAGCUAAUGAUUGGAUAAGGAAAGUGUCGUAUACAUGGAAGACUCCUUAGCCAUAAAAAGAAGGAAAUCAUGUUUUUUGCAGCAACCGGGGUGAAACUGGAGGCCAUUAUCUUAACUGAAACAACUCAAAACCAAGAAGUCAAGCACUGCAUAUUCUCACUCAGAAGUGUGAGCUGAAAAAUGUGUACACAUGGAUGUACAGAGUGGAAUCACAGACUUUGGAGACACAGAAGGGUGGGAAAGUGGGAGGGAGGUGGGGGAUAAGAAAAUUGCCGAUUGGGUACAAUAUACACGAUUUGGGCAAUGGCCACACUAAAGUCCAGACUUCACCACUAUGCACCAUUUCCAUGUAACAUAACUGCACUUGUAGCCCUUCAAUUUAUAAAAGUAAACAUUUUCAACAGUAAGAAAUAUCAUGCAUCAGUUAACCUGGCCAUGUGGGAAACCGGACAGGUGCCGCAGAGGAAGAGGUGGGUCAGGGUGCUGGGCAGGUUGGAAAGGGCGUGGUCGGCUGGGGCCUCAUUGAGAAGCUGAUGUGUGAGCCCAGCUGGAAGGUGGUGAGGGAAGGGGUUCCAGGAGGAGGGGAUAGCCGUGAGAGGGGUCCAAGGACUUGCACCCAGGCCCAUGUGCCUGGAGUGGACUAGGAGGUGGGGGGUGACCCGGCCAGCUCACGGGCUGUUUAGGCCACUGACUUGGCUUCCAGUCUUCACAAAAUGGGAAACAUCAGUGACUCACACGAUCUGACUUUUUUUUUUAAAGCUCACCCACAUUUCACGGCUAUUUUCCCUGAUGUGCUCUGGGAGGGCGGAGUGCCGUGGGACUGGCGAGCGCCUCCCUUCCUGCCUGUCGGCAUGGACUUGCAACUGCAGGAGUGCAUGGACUGAAGGACCACACGCACUCACAGCAUGGCUGGGGCCUCCAGGGCCAGCUCCUCCAGCAGGACGGGUCCUCACUCAUUCCCGAGAAAUGAAACUAUUCUGAUAACGACUUUCCAAGAAAAAGUGCAAAAUCUUGCUUGAAUGAUUCACUUCCUUUCUUCCUGUGAUAGUUAAUUUUAUGUUAACUUGGCUGGGCCACAUGGCCUGUUGCUUGGCCAAAUCCCAGUCUAGAUGUUGCUGUGAAGGCAUUUUGUAGAUGAGGAUUAACGUUAGAUCCGUCAACUUUCAGGAAAGCAGAGACCCUGUCCACGGUGUGGCUGGGCCUCAUCCGAUCAGUGGACGACUUCAAGAGAAAAAGGCUGAGGUCCUCUAAGGAAGAAGAAAUCUGCUUCCCAACAGCCUUCAGGCUCAAGCUGCAACACCAGCUCUUCCCUGGGCCUCCAGCCUGCCCUGCCUGCCCUGCAGCUUUUCCACAUGCCAGCACAGUUGUGUGAGCCGGUUCCUUAAAAGCUGUCUCUCUAGAUACAUAUAGUCACAUACAGUGAGCCCUCCAUAUCCAUGGACUCCACAUCCCUGGAUUCAACCAGCCUUGUUGGAUUAAAAUAUUUAGAAAUAAAAUGUCUGCACUGAACACCUCAAGACCUUUUUCUUGUCAUUAUUUCCUAAA
Molecule: long non-coding RNA, 2017 nt
Filed under: Homo sapiens (human)
Lineage: Eukaryota; Metazoa; Chordata; Mammalia; Primates; Hominidae
Description: HSALNT0338414
Source: RNAcentral